Molecule: ribosomal RNA, 780 nt
Filed under: uncultured Providencia sp.
Lineage: Bacteria; Pseudomonadati; Pseudomonadota; Gammaproteobacteria; Enterobacterales; Morganellaceae
Description: bacterial SSU rRNA
Rfam family: Bacterial small subunit ribosomal RNA
Source: RNAcentral
GCGGCCCCCUGGACAAGACUGACGCUCAGGUGCGAAAGCGUGGGGAGCAAACAGGAUUAGAUACCUGGUAGUCCACGCUGUAAACGAUGUCGAUUUGGAGGUUGUUCCCUUGAGGAGUGGCUUCCGGAGCUAACGCGUUAAAUCGACCGCCUGGGGAGUACGGCCGCAAGGUUAAAACUCAAAUGAAUUGACGGGGGCCCGCACAAGCGGUGGAGCAUGUGGUUUAAUUCGAUGCAACGCGAAGAACCUUACCUACUCUUGACAUCCAGAGAAUUUAGCAGAGAUGCUUUAGUGCCUUCGGGAACUCUGAGACAGGUGCUGCAUGGCUGUCGUCAGCUCGUGUUGUGAAAUGUUGGGUUAAGUCCCGCAACGAGCGCAACCCUUAUCCUUUGUUGCCAGCACAUUAUGGUGGGAACUCAAAGGAGACUGCCGGUGAUAAACCGGAGGAAGGUGGGGAUGACGUCAAGUCAUCAUGGCCCUUACGAGUAGGGCUACACACGUGCUACAAUGGCGUAUACAAAGAGAAGCGACCUCGCGAGAGCAAGCGGAACUCAUAAAGUACGUCGUAGUCCGGAUUGGAGUCUGCAACUCGACUCCAUGAAGUCGGAAUCGCUAGUAAUCGUAGAUCAGAAUGCUACGGUGAAUACGUUCCCGGGCCUUGUACACACCGCCCGUCACACCAUGGGAGUGGGUUGCAAAAGAAGUAGGUAGCUUAACCUUCGGGAGGGCGCUUACCACUUUGUGAUUCAUGACUGGGGUGAAGUCGUAACAAGGUAACCA